Molecule: ribosomal RNA, 915 nt
Filed under: Aspergillus tamarii
Lineage: Eukaryota; Fungi; Ascomycota; Eurotiomycetes; Eurotiales; Aspergillaceae
Description: LSU rRNA
Rfam family: Eukaryotic large subunit ribosomal RNA
Source: RNAcentral
CUAGCAUAUCAAUAAGCGGAGGAAAAGAAACCAACCGGGACCGCCUCAGUAACGGCGAGUGAAGCGGCAAGAGCUCAAAUUUGAAAGCUGGCUCCUUCGGGGUCCGCAUUGUAAUUUGCAGAGGAUGCUUCGGGUGCGGCCCCUGUCUAAGUGCCCUGGAACGGGCCGUCAGAGAGGGUGAGAAUCCCGUCUGGGAUGGGGUGUCCGCGCCCGUGUGAAGCUCCUUCGACGAGUCGAGUUGUUUGGGAAUGCAGCUCUAAAUGGGUGGUAAAUUUCAUCUAAAGCUAAAUACUGGCCGGAGACCGAUAGCGCACAAGUAGAGUGAUCGAAAGAUGAAAAGCACUUUGAAAAGAGAGUUAAAAAGCACGUGAAAUUGUUGAAAGGGAAGCGCUUGCGACCAGACUCGCCUCCAGGGUUCAGCCGGCAUUCGUGCCGGUGUACUUCCCUGGGGGCGGGCCAGCGUCGGUUUGGGCGGCCGGUCAAAGGCUCCCGGAAUGUAGUGCCCUUCGGGGCACCUUAUAGCCGGGAGUGCAAUGCGGCCAGCCUGGACCGAGGAACGCGCUUCGGCACGGACGCUGGCAUAAUGGUCGCAAACGACCCGUCUUGAAACACGGACCAAGGAGUCUAACAUCUACGCGAGUGUUCGGGUGUCAAACCCGUACGCGCAGUGAAAGCGAACGGAGGUGGGAGCCCCCUCGCGGGGCGCACCAUCGACCGAUCCUGAUGUCUUCGGAUGGAUUUGAGUAAGAGCGUAAAUGUGGGGACCCGAAAGAUGGUGAACUAUGCCUGAAUAGGGCGAAGCCAGAGGAAACUCUGGUGGAGGCUCGCAGCGGUUCUGACGUGCAAAUCGAUCGUCAAAUUUGGGUAUAGGGGCGAAAGACUAAUCGAACCAUCUAGUAGCUGGUUCCUGCCGAA